Molecule: RNA transcript, 1164 nt
Organism: Drosophila innubila
Lineage: Eukaryota; Metazoa; Arthropoda; Insecta; Diptera; Drosophilidae
Exons: 5
Source: RefSeq, a predicted model, not a curated record
UGAUUAAUACUCACAAUUCAAUACUUUUAUAUAAUUGAUACAUUUUACCUGUAGCUAAGAAAAUGUCUGAUCAAUGCAAUAUGUUCAAGAAAGCAAAGAAUCACAAGAAAAUGCAUGCCACUCGUCCUGAAGUAGUUGAACUAUACAAGAAUAAUACAUUUGUGUCCGAUUCUUUGUCUUCAACGUGUGUCAGCUCUGUUAAAUUCACAGCUGAUGGACAGAAGAGCACGAAAACUAUUGGCAAAUUGAGCGACCGACAUUUAAAGGCUAAUCUUAAGUUACCAGAGCUCGAGGAACGUUGUGCGAUUUCUUCAAAUAAAAAUUUGUACAAUCUGUCAAAACAAUUGGCCGACUACGAAGCUGAAAAUCAGUCAGAUGAAAAUUCUAAGGAGUUUCAACCUAAAGGGGAUAGACUUCAAAACAACUUGGAUCGGUCUCGAUCAAUGCGUAGUGACAAUAAAGAUUGCAACUUAAAUCAAACAUAUAACAUAGUGGAUAAUUCAUCCGUUUCCCUAAAUACGGAAUAUAAAGACUAUAAAAUGCCUAAAGUAAGGCCAGUUCAUAGUGUGAAAAGAAAACAAAAGAAAAUCAAAAAAAUAAUGAAUAAGAAGAACUCAACUUCUUCAUCUGAUGAAAGUUGCUAUAAUACGGCUCGAUCUAGUCAACCACAAGCACGAAACGAAAAGCACAACGAUAAGUCGUUUAUUUCUAGCAACAAGACGUACAAAUUGCUAAUUAUUUGGUCGAACUUCAACCACAAGAGAAACCAGAAAAGAAAACUUUAAGCCAAUCAAAUCGAUUGAAGCUCAAUAGCAGUUUAUUAAACUUGAACGUGGAAACUAGAUUCAAAGAAUUUAUUCAACUAAUCAAACUCACAUUGCAAACUAUUGAUGAUUGGUACACCUUUACACUUCUACUUUUUCUGGGUACUGCCGCAUAUCUCAUCUAUAUACUGUGCUAUGAUAUCAAUAUAUAUGUAAAUGAGGAGAGACGUUAUUUGGCCAAAAUGCGAUCAUCUGGGAUUGUUUUAAAAUGUUUUUACUAUGUUAUGCGCCUGCUAAAGGUGCCAAUUUUUUAAAUUUGUAUUCUCUCGGGCUUAGUUUUGCAGUUUUCCAGUAAUACAAAUUUAAGUCACAUUUAAUCUAUGCACAUCCAUUUGCCGCA